CAGGCCCAUACAUUCUGAGCGCAACAACGAAAUACAGGAUAGAGCCAUAUCUCCAUGGUUCCAUGAACAAACCCACAAACCAUCAAGCAGUCUCACACUACCAAAUUUAUAGUGACACACAAAUCCAUAAUAGACAAGUCCAUAUUGCAAGAUCAUGAAAGGCAUGGCAAUGCUUAUUUCACACGAUCUUUGAGCGCAUCGAGACUGAUUUCGCCGGCGUCAGUAGCCUGCACUUCCAACUG
RNAcentral lists this unclassified non-coding RNA (242 nucleotides) under Hevea brasiliensis (rubber tree). The record is from RNAcentral. Lineage: Eukaryota; Viridiplantae; Streptophyta; Magnoliopsida; Malpighiales; Euphorbiaceae.